CAGGGCUUAAAGUCUUGUAAUUGGAAUGAUGGGAAUUUAAACCUCUUCCAGAGUAUCAAUUGGAGGGCAAGUCUGGUGCCAGCAGCCGCGGUAAUUCCAGCUCCAAUAGCGUAUAUUAAAAUUGUUGCAGUUAAAAAGCUCGUAGUUGAAUUUCUGCUGCAUUGCUUGUGUCCCUCUGGGGUCUGUGCAUGUGGCUUUUUUCGGACGGAGUUUCUUUGUCUGAAUGUUUACUUUGAGAAAAUUAGAGUGCUCAAAGCAGGCUUUCGCCUUGAAUAGUUUAGCAUGGAAUAAUAAAGUAGGACUUUGGUUCUAUUUUGUUGGUUUUAGGUACCAAAGUAAUGGUUAAUAGGAACAGUUGGGGGCAUUCGUAUUUAACUGUCAGAGGUGAAAUUCUUAGAUUUGUUAAAGACGAACUACUGCGAAAGCAUUUGCCAAGGAUGUUUUCAUUAAUCAAGAAC
RNAcentral lists this ribosomal RNA (458 nucleotides) under Theileria annulata. RNAcentral's name for it is "SSU rRNA". It matches the Rfam family "Eukaryotic small subunit ribosomal RNA", at positions 486 to 984 of the family's 1831-position model. The record is from RNAcentral. Lineage: Eukaryota; Apicomplexa; Aconoidasida; Piroplasmida; Theileriidae.